Molecule: long non-coding RNA, 497 nt
Filed under: Equus caballus (horse)
Lineage: Eukaryota; Metazoa; Chordata; Mammalia; Perissodactyla; Equidae
Description: lncRNA (ENSECAG00000044195.1)
Source: RNAcentral
GGGAGAGACAGAAACUGGAUAGGAAGGAGAGACAGAGACACGCAGCGACUCAGACGAGGCAAAGAAAUGCUUUUCCUGCUGGGCUCCUACUCAUUCUUUGACUUGGGGCCUCUCCAGCUGCUGUGCCUACCUUAGCCUCAGCGGACACCCUAUUCUAUUCCAUGAUCCAGGCCUGACUCCUCCGCCACUUUCCGAGGGUUGAAGUCGCUCUGCAGACAAGGGAACCUAAGCGGGCAAGGAUUGGGAAGUGCAGCAUCACGUUUUAAAGCCAGGUCUGACUCCGGAGCCUCCUUAACGCCUGCACCUGCACUGCGGGGCCUCCCAGACUUGGCUGGUGUCUCCCUCUACCCCGUUCCCUCAGCCCUUCCAGUCUGGCUGAGCCGGGAUCUACCGAGGGGGUGGCUGCACAGUGGGCAGGACAGCUCAGGUCCAGCAGAGGCAGCCCCUGGGGUCUUGUUCCCACCACGACGUGAGCCGGGCAUCAGCCUGACAGAUCU